RNAcentral lists this non-coding RNA (93 nucleotides) under Vibrio xiamenensis. Its description in RNAcentral is "GEMM cis-regulatory element". It matches the Rfam family "c-di-GMP-I-GGC riboswitch aptamer". The record is from RNAcentral. Lineage: Bacteria; Pseudomonadati; Pseudomonadota; Gammaproteobacteria; Vibrionales; Vibrionaceae.
CCACGCACAGGGCAAACCAUUCGAAAGGAUGGGACGCAAAGCUUCCGGCCUUACCCAUAAGUGACAGUUAUGAAAGGUAGCGGGGUUGCCGAU